UAUAUCUUAGUAUAUGAUGUAUUAUAGAUUUUGAUUCUAUAGGACUAGUUUAAUUCUAGAAGAUAUAA
This 68-nucleotide transfer RNA is filed under the name Bostrichoidea sp. 5 KM-2017. Its description in RNAcentral is "tRNA-Gln". The record is from RNAcentral. Lineage: Eukaryota; Metazoa; Arthropoda; Insecta; Coleoptera.